RNAcentral lists this small RNA (137 nucleotides) under Homo sapiens (human). Lineage: Eukaryota; Metazoa; Chordata; Mammalia; Primates; Hominidae. The record is from RNAcentral.
GGCCAAGACUGGGACCAGGAAAGAGAGGAGCAAAAUCUGUCCGAUCUACUUUCCCCAAUCUGUGAAGUAGCUAAUAAUAUAGAACAGAAUGCUCAAGAGAAUGAAAAUGAAAGCCAAGUUUCAACAGAUGAAAGUGA